Molecule: small RNA, 599 nt
Filed under: Arabidopsis thaliana (thale cress)
Lineage: Eukaryota; Viridiplantae; Streptophyta; Magnoliopsida; Brassicales; Brassicaceae
Description: ATSL158490
Source: RNAcentral
AUGAAAACACAUACUCGAAGCGGACCUGAUCAUGUCAAACCACUCGACCCCCUGGUCGAGUAGACGCUUCACGACCUCAAUAGACCACUCGACCCCCUGGUCGAGUAGAAGACUUCACUACUUCACUUCACCACUCGACCGCCUGGCCGAGUACCACCAUGAGAGUCACUCGAUCACUUCACUCGACCACCUGGUCGAGUAUCAUCACCUCCACCACUUGACCAUCCCUCGAUCACGCCACUCUACCACAAAGUCGAGUAUCACCAUCACCAUCACUCGACUACAUACUCGAUUGCCAGCUUCAGAGUCUUCUCCAUUCCGCACUCAACCAGACACUCGAGCACAAGGAAGAAAAGAAGACUCCAGCUUAUCACUCGACCGCUCACUCGACCACCUGGGUCGAGUACCGUUCUUAAUCCGUCCCACUACUGCGUCGUUUUGAGUGUUAGGGUUUUGGAAUAUUUCGCUAUAAGUAGCAUGUAUUUUACAUUUUCGUUUAUCUAAGUUUUAUUCCGCAGACACUUUGUUCUUCACAUUUUGUAAUCCGGAUUUCUUUUAAUCUAUUCAGUAUUCAACAUUUUGCUUUUGAUUUCGUUUAC